GUUCGACUUUUCAGAAAUAUUUUUUGAUAGUUGUGUAAAUGACAGACAGUGCAGAUGCUAUUUUCAAAAUUUUAUGUUUUUGCGCUCUUGGCUUUGAGUUUUUUACAUUCUUCAAAUAGUGUCGAAAAAUGCUGGAAAUGUAAGUCUUGGAGAGGCGACUGUCUUCUACAAAAAAAUGUGAUAGUACAGUUUUGUGAAAACAGUACUAAAUGUUUGACCAUUAAAAUGAACUUUCUUCAUGGUAAUACGCGAAGAUGUCAACGAAAUGAAGACGACUGCAAAAAUAGCAGCUUUAGUACUUGUUAUUCGUGUAACGAAAAUUUGUGCAACAGUAAUGGAUGUGAAUAUGUUUCUUCUAGUAAGUUUUUUUUAAUAUUAGGGUUUUUCAUGGUGCUGUUAAAAUGUUUAUUAUAAAAACGUACUUUUGUGUAA
Tribolium castaneum (red flour beetle) is the source of this 432-nucleotide long non-coding RNA. RefSeq lists it as uncharacterized. The transcript has 3 exons. The record is from RefSeq and is a predicted model, not a curated record. NCBI's taxonomy places the organism in Eukaryota, Metazoa, Arthropoda, Insecta, Coleoptera, Tenebrionidae.